UACUCAAAUAACGAAUAAAGAGUAACGAAGAACACAAAUUCGAGAUGAUCGGGGACUAACACACGAGCACACAGAAAAGGUAACAAUACGGUUGACUGGGUCAAAAUUAGGGUUUAUUGUGCGUUUUGAGUGUAGAUACUGUGACAGUGGGGUGAUCGUCGGAGAUGAAGGUUACCUUCGGAGAGGACGACGCCGCCGUCAGCUCCGCCGUGUGUCGUUUGACUCUGGAUCGUUUUGGAUAUAUCCUCCUUUAACACGUCUCUUCCCGGAAAAUGUAUAAUUGAGAGGAAAUUUCAUUUGUUUUUGUUGAACAAAUUUAAGAUUUAAAAUCUAAAUUAUAUAUUUUAUAGUGAUGUAAUAAAAUAUUAUAUGGAAUUAUUAUUAAUUUUGUUAUUUUUAGAUUAUAUUGUGUUAUUGUGGUAGUCGUAUCUAACACGGGGUUGAGGGUGGUUUAAUAACACAUUCUUAUUAAAGUGGAGCUCUCUUUGAAGGUCAAAAGCUCGAGUGUCGCAAUUGGUGGAAUAAGGUUGGGCAAUGUGUAUUGGUGCCCCUCUAAAUGGAGUUUCAAUUGGUUUUCACCCAUGUCAUCCUUUCUUCCUUUCACAUCGCUAAGCCAUUCACAAAGAUGCCUUUGGCGUCCCGGAGGCGGUUUUGAACACGUUAAAGUGCUAAGGUGGUUGGUGGUGUCAGACCACACCACAUAGCCUAAGUGUCGAAUGGGGUUCUAAAGAUUAGUUGCCAAUGUUUGUGUAAUCAUCAUCUUCUGAAUUAUGGUAAUACUUUCCCAAGUUUGUGUUGAUGCAUAAUCAUGGGUUUUGAUUUUGAUAAGUGGCUUUUCAUAUUUGACCUAGCUUAAGACUCUCAAUAGUUGUUGAAUGGUGUGUGAAAGUUGUAUAACUUGGUAACCGUGCUUAAUUUGAUAGCAUUA
RNAcentral lists this long non-coding RNA (928 nucleotides) under Helianthus annuus (common sunflower). Its description in RNAcentral is "hypothetical non coding rna". Lineage: Eukaryota; Viridiplantae; Streptophyta; Magnoliopsida; Asterales; Asteraceae. The record is from RNAcentral.